RNAcentral lists this long non-coding RNA (4151 nucleotides) under Gossypium barbadense (sea-island cotton). Its description in RNAcentral is "long non-coding RNA (GBAR_LNC011006)". Lineage: Eukaryota; Viridiplantae; Streptophyta; Magnoliopsida; Malvales; Malvaceae. The record is from RNAcentral.
GGCAAUGUAACUCACAGUGGCAGUUAGGAGUGAGCAAAAUCCGAUUCGAUUCGAAAAACUCGAUAAAAAAUUCAAAUUUUGAAUUAAAUAGUUUGAGUUAUUUGAGUUAAUCAAGUUAUUCGAAUCAACUCGAAUAAAAAAUUAAGUUUUUUGGUUUAACUCAAAUAUGAAUUACACAAUUCGGGUUAUCCGAAAAUCCGAAUAAGAAAAGACAAAACUACAUAGUUUUGAUAAAUGUUUACUUUAUUAAAAGUUAAAAUUCAAAAUAAUUAAGUUAAAAGGUAAAACUACGUCGUUUUGAUAAAUGUUUACUCACUAAGUUAAAAGACUAAAUCAUUAUAUUAUUCAUGUAGUUAAAUAAUCUUAUACUUCAUCUACUAGUUAAAUAAUCGGUCCAUCUAAACACAACAUUAAGUAUAAAUAAUAGGAUUCGUUAACUCGACUCGAUUUGACUCGAAAUUUUUUGACUCGAUUCGAAAAAUUUCAAAUUGAGUUCGGUUGUUAAAAUAGGAUUUGUCAACUCGACUAACUCAAAAAUUUUGACUCGAUUUGACUCGACUCGAUCGAAUACUCACCCCUAGUGGCAGUGUCACCAGCUCAUGUGUGACACGCGGCCGUGCGCUAGCCUGUAUAGUGCAUGAUUGAGCCAAUAAAUGUCAAAUUUCAUGCCUUAAUUGGCACCAAGAUACACCUCUAAAAUCUAAUUACACAAGCAAUUCUAUCAAGCAUUACUAGCUUCUCAAUCAACUAUCAUCCUUAAAUUUAAUUCUUCCUAAAAUUACUCAUAAUUAUUUCACCAAGCACCUCAACCCGUAACAAUAAACCAGAUUCGAACGCCAUAAAAAUACACAUUUUACCAUUAAGAAAACAACUAAGCAUAUAAUUCGAUUAACAAUUUAAUGCAUUAAUUCAGUAAUUUCCUAGCUACGCACUUCCGAACAACAACUUGAUAUUUAUUCUUAGACAAUAGUAGAUUUAAUAUUUAUUUUCAGACAAUAAUUAAACAUGUAAAUUUCGAACAACAUUUUAAUACAUUUAUUCGGACAAUUCCAUUAUGCACAAAAUAAAUUGUCUUGUUUAUACACACUAAACAAUAUUAUGCAUAACAUCAAAUUCGACAGCUUAAUAUGCUCCCACCGAACAGCAUCAUAUCUUCAAAAAUAAAACAACAUUAACACUACAUAUAACAUUAACACCAAAUUUGGAUAGUUGUUUAAAGCAUGAAAUGGAUAGAAUUUGUACCAAUUUGGCCAGUACUUAACAUUCAUGUUCAGUCAGAACUUCGAAUCAUGUAAUAGAUAUUUUUAUUACCAAAUUGGUCAACAAUUCACAAUCACAAUUGGACCUGAUCUUGAAACAUGAAUGGACACAACUAAUGCCAUUUUUGGACAGCAUUGCUACAUGUUUGGGUUAGCUUUAAUCUUUAUUAUUACAAGUACUUAAGUCAAAUAAGAAAAACAUAACGAAGCUGUCCUGGUUUGGACAACAAAAUCCUCAUUCUCACAGCAACAAUUAACCAUUUAAACAUAAUUAAUGUGUCCUAAUUCGGACAACCAAUGUUACAUAUUUUACAGCAGUAUUUUAACACGUCAUAAACUGAUUUUAAACACCCAUGUAAUCUUCUUAGAGAUUAUUUGACCCGAAUCCCGUUACUUGUUAAAGAAAUAAAUACGGUCUAUAUCGUAUAAGUUAAAUCUAUAUAGAACUAUACUUCUUCUAUUUAACUUUGAUUAGAACAAAGUUAUUCGAUUAUUAAAUAUUAGAUGUGUUCUUAUUUUCUUUUUUUAUUGCUUUGUAAUUGUUUUAUCGCUAUUAUCGGUAUUUAUUAUAACAAAUACAAACCGAAAAGCAUGCAAGUAAAUGUUUAGACCUCAAUCUAUAAUGUACCAUGGCAACAGCCGAAUAUCCAAAUGUAAGCUUAAGUCAACCAAAUAUCCCUAAGUAUAAUUUCAGCCGAAAACAACAAUAAUAAAACAUCAUAAAAUAUAAAAAUUUAAAGUUUGGAGUUGAAGAACUCACAGAAAAUUUUCUCCCAAAGCCGAACCCCUUCUUUUUUGCUACUGUCCUCUUCACCUCCUUUAGCGAAAUGCUUCCAAAUCGAGGAUUUCUUCCCCCAUGCAGCCGCUGUUUACAACCUUUCCUCCCUAUUCCAAUGGCUAAACUAAACAAGAAGAAGAUGAAGCUCUCACCCCUCUUUCCUUUUUUUUUUUUUUUUCUUUCUCACCGUCCCAUCCCUUUUUCCCAAGAAAAACCAUUUUUAAUUAAAAUUAGAUGAUAACAGUGGGAACAAUCAUUGACCAGUUUCCCAUGUUUGCAACUGGCCACCCAACCAAAAGCCAUGCACACCCUAAAUCCAUUAGUUAACAUACAAAAUAUUACGCAUAAUGAUUAACAUUAGGUUCCGCAUUCGGUCAAAUCAAGUCGAAUCGAGUUGAAAAAAUUUUAGGUAAUUAAGUUGAUGAAUCAUAUUUUAACAAUAGAACUUAAUUUAAAAAUUUUUCGAAUCAAAUCGAGUCGAGUUAACGAACUUUAUUAUUUAUACUCAAUGUUGCGUUUAUAUGGAUCGAUUAUUUAACUAGUAGACGAAGUAUAAGAUUAUUUAACUAUAUAAAUAAUAUAAUUGUUUUGCCUUUUAACUUAAUCAGUAAACAUUUAUCAAAACGACGUAGUUUUGCCUUUUAACUUAAUAGUUUUGACUUUUAAAUUUAGAAAAGCCAAACAUUUAUCAAAAUGACGUUGUUUUGUUUUUUCUUAUUUAGAUUUUAGGAUAACUCGAAUUGUGUAAUUUAUAUUCGAGUUAAACUGAAAAUUUUAAUUUUUUAUUCAAGUUGAUUUAAAUUAGUCGAACUAUUUAACUCAAAAUUUAACUUUUUUAUCAAAUUUUUCGAAUCAAAUAAGAUUUUGCUCACUCAUAAUUAACACCACCAUCAUCUAACUAUCUAAUUUCAUUUGAAAGAAACAUUUGUAAAGCUUAACAUGUAGAUAACCCGCGCUACUAGUACAACUACCAAACCAAAGUUCCUCCUCAAAGGUCAUGAAUUAAAAUGAAAUGAAAUACAAUUAUUUUUCAGUAAAAUUACUUAUUAAAAAUUCAAUUCACCUAUAUAAUAACUUUCAAUAAAUAUUUAAUAAUAAUAAUUACAAGUUCGGUUUUUUAAAACAAAGUGUCGAUACCUCACUUUCCGAUAUUAUUGACUUUAAGGUCAAUAUACUUGUACAUUAAUUAAUUACCAAUUCAAUAAAAACCUCUAAUCUAAAUUUCUAUCUAAUUAAAAAUAAACUCGUAAAUAUUAAAUAAUAAUAUUUACGAACUCACUCAUCAAAAAUAAGGUUUUGAAACCACAAUUUUCUGGCACUACUGAAAAUCGGGCUGUUACAAAAAUUUUCAUAUUUCAUAAUCAUAUAUUUAGUUACUACAUCAAUAUGUCAGAUUCCACUACUCAAACUCGUAGAAUUCAAAAAUUUACAAAUUUUACAAUUUGAUCCUUACUUCAAUUUUUAUCAAAUUAAUCACUUAACAAUUUAUUUUUCAACUUACUCAUCCAAUUAAUAUUCAAAAUAAAUAUUUACCACUUUCAGCAUAAUAAACUCAUAAACCCAUCAUUCAAGAUAAUUAAUUCAAAAUUAAAAUAUUCUUAGUAAAAACACUCGCACUUUCUCGCUUUCAGUUAUUCACUUAAAAUCAUUCGCCAAAUUUUUCUUAAAAUAAUUCAUUAUUCACAUCAUACAUAAACACAAUAUUUCCAUAAGUUUAAGUAUAGAGAAUAAUUAUUUACGCCAAAUUCUUGCAAUUUCACAACAAAUUAUACAAUUAAAUAAAUAUAACAUAAUAAUUUAAACAAUUUACCCUCGUUUUCUCGCACUUCCAUCUUCAUCUUCAAGCCUCCAUGAUUGGUUUCAUAUGAGAAGACACUCUCGAAUUAGACUUUGGUGUGAAAUCCCACUUUAAUUUCAUAAAAAUUUUAAAGAUUUUAGGUUAAAGAUGAAAAAAAAAGGCCAAAUUGAAUAAAAUGAAAAACUUCUUUUUUAUUUUGAAGAAAACCAUGACAAAACCUCCCAAAAUUUAGCCAAAGGACCUAUUUAUAAUGAUGGGAGAAUCCUUUUUUUGUAGAUAUUUCCUUUCUUUUAUUUCCUUUAUUUGUUUAUUUUGC